AGAGUUUGAUCAUGGCUCAGAUUGAACGCUGGCGGCAGGCUUAACACAUGCAAGUCGAACGGUAACAUAAACUAGCUUGCUAGUUUGAUGACGAGUGGCGGACGGGUGAGUAAUGCUUGGGAAUAUGCCUUGAAGUGGGGGACAACAGUUGGAAACGACUGCUAAUACCGCAUAAUGUGCUUUUUGUAGUGAAAAGUACCAAAGGGGGGGCUCUUCGGACCUCUCGCUUCUUGAUUAGCCCAAGUGAGAUUAGCUAGUUGGUGAGGUAAUGGCUCACCAAGGCGACGAUCUCUAGCUGGUUUGAGAGGAUGAUCAGCCACACUGGGACUGAGACACGGCCCAGACUCCUACGGGAGGCAGCAGUGGGGAAUAUUGCACAAUGGGCGAAAGCCUGAUGCAGCCAUGCCGCGUGUGUGAAGAAGGCCUUCGGGUUGUAAAGCACUUUCAGUUGUGAGGAAAGGUUGUAGUUUAAUAUGCUAUAGCUGUGACGUUAACAACAGAAGAAGCACCGGCUAACUUCGUGCCAGCAGCCGCGGUAAUACGAGGGGUGCAAGCGUUAAUCGGAAUUACUGGGCGUAAAGCGUGCGUAGGCGGUUUGUUAAGUGAGAUGUGAAAUCCCGGGGCUCAACCUCGGAACUGCAUUUCGAACUGGCAGGCUAGAAUACUGUAGAGGGGGGUAGAAUUUCA
RNAcentral lists this ribosomal RNA (687 nucleotides) under uncultured Vibrionaceae bacterium. RNAcentral's name for it is "bacterial SSU rRNA". It matches the Rfam family "Bacterial small subunit ribosomal RNA", at positions 8 to 671 of the family's 1533-position model. The record is from RNAcentral. Lineage: Bacteria; Pseudomonadati; Pseudomonadota; Gammaproteobacteria; Vibrionales; Vibrionaceae.